UUAAUUUGAUCACAAUUAAUCAUAACACAACAAAUUAAAUCGGGUAAAAGAAAUAACUCCCAUCAAGAUGCAGUGUAUAUAUAUAGUGGUACUCUUACUGACUAUUGUUGUUGAAUGACAUGUGCUGAGGAAGUGUAAAGACAAACUGUUGGUCACGCAUGGCUUUGUCUUGCGAAAUAUAUGUAUGUGAGACUCAAACGUAGGAAAGACAAAGUAAAAAUUUCCAAAUCUUCGUCUUGUCUGAAAAAAGAAAGUGGGAAAAGCCAACCGUGCCAACCUCAUCAGACUUCAUAGCCGCCCCCAUUGAUUUGUCACACCACCUCCCUCCUUCCCUUCCUCUAAUUAACUACUGUUCAUGUGACAGUCCCAGCUCCUUCACUCAGAAAGACUAAUUUCUAGUCAACAUUUCAUUGUCGACUCCACACCACAGCACAGGGAUCUCUAUGUUACUGUCUAAGAAAUAUUUUCUGACCUGUUUUUUAUAAUUAUUUUUUUGAAGGGUGUGAAAACAAAUUAAAUUCAAUAGAAACUUUCAAAGAAGCAAGCAAGAGAAGAUGCUAUGUUACUUGGGGC
This 573-nucleotide long non-coding RNA is filed under the name Prunus persica (peach). RNAcentral's name for it is "long non-coding RNA (PPER_LNC001339)". The record is from RNAcentral. Lineage: Eukaryota; Viridiplantae; Streptophyta; Magnoliopsida; Rosales; Rosaceae.